This 233-nucleotide ribosomal RNA is filed under the name uncultured bacterium. Its description in RNAcentral is "partial 16S ribosomal RNA". It matches the Rfam family "Bacterial small subunit ribosomal RNA", at positions 335 to 566 of the family's 1533-position model. The record is from RNAcentral.
CACCUACGGGAGGCAGCAGUGAGGAAUAUUGGUCAAUGGUCGGGAGACUGAACCAGCCAAGCCGCGUGAGGGAUGAAGGUACAGAGCAUCAUAAACCUCUUCUGUCAGGGAACAAAGGCGGGGACGUGUCCCCGGAUGAGUGUACCUGAAGAAAAAGCAUCGGCUAACUCCGUGCCAGCAGGCGCGGUAAUACGGAGGGUGCGAGCGAUAUCCGGAUUUAUUGGGUUUAAAGG